CAAAGUGGAAGGAGGAACCAAAACCGACUCUGGAGCCUCCCGAAGUCGUUAAUGAGCCAACGUUAAUUAGCGCCAAUUAACGAGAACUUUUUGGGGUAUCUCCCUAUGGGGCGGCUCUGCCGGUGCCGAAAACGUCGUAAAGGGAUCCGAAGAGCCCGAAACGCUCCGCCCCCUCAGGGCCGCGUUCCUCCCCCCGCGAUGACGUCACCUCUGAUGACGUCACUGCACAUCGCCGCCGUGGUCACGUGGCCGCCCCCCUCCAUCGCCCUCCUCGGCGGUCCCAAAGCGGCGCUUUUUUACCCCAAAAGCGGAGUCGGAAUGAAGGGAUGAAAAUGGCGGUUUUUGGUCACGGAGGGGCGGAAUUUUGGGGGCAAAAAUGGGGAUUUCGGAGGGUAAAAAUGGCGAUUUUUGAGCAGUAAAAGAGUGAAUUUGG
This 433-nucleotide long non-coding RNA is filed under the name Gallus gallus (chicken). The record is from RNAcentral. Lineage: Eukaryota; Metazoa; Chordata; Aves; Galliformes; Phasianidae.